Branchiostoma floridae (Florida lancelet) is the source of this 138-nucleotide long non-coding RNA. RefSeq lists it as uncharacterized. The record is from RefSeq and is a predicted model, not a curated record. NCBI's taxonomy places the organism in Eukaryota, Metazoa, Chordata, Leptocardii, Amphioxiformes, Branchiostomatidae. The transcript has 2 exons.
GUCUAUAUACGGCUAAAUUUUCCACCCACGCCGUGCGACCGAAACUCAGACUUCACUUCAAGAUAGUCAUUGACCCCGGAUAACCAACCAUGAGUCUCUGCCUUCUUCUGUUUGUGGCUCUGGCAGCUGCGUCUCCUG